GACGAACGCUGGCGGCGUGCUUAACACAUGCAAGUGGAGCGACGAACCGGGGCUUGCCCCGGGGCAGAGCCGCGAACGGGUGAGUAACACGUGGGUAACCCACCCCGAUGACCGGGACAACCCGAGGAAACUCGGGCUAAUACCGGAUGUGCUCCUUGACCCCGAGGUCAAGGCGUAAAGAUAGCUUCGGCCUUCGCAUCGGGACGGGCCCGCGGCCCAUUAGCUUGUUGGUGGGGUAACGGCCUACCAAGGCGACGAUGGGAGCUGGUCUGAGAGGAUGAUCAGCCACACUGGGACUGAGACACGGCCCAGACUCCUACGGGAGGCAGCAGUGGGGAAUAUUGGACAAUGGGCGAAAGCCUGAUCCAGCCAUGCCGCGUGAGUGAUGAAGGCCC
RNAcentral lists this ribosomal RNA (395 nucleotides) under uncultured bacterium. RNAcentral describes it as "bacterial SSU rRNA". It matches the Rfam family "Bacterial small subunit ribosomal RNA", at positions 28 to 417 of the family's 1533-position model. The record is from RNAcentral.